GAUGAGCGCUGGCGGCGUGCCUAAUACAUGCAAGUCGAGCGAACGGACGAGAAGCUUGCUUCUCUGAUGUUAGCGGCGGACGGGUGAGUAACACGUGGAUAACCUACCUAUAAGACUGGGAUAACUUCGGGAAACCGGAGCUAAUACCGGAUAAUAUUUUGAACCGCAUGGUUCAAAAGUGAAAGACGGUCUUGCUGUCACUUAUAGAUGGAUCCGCGCUGCAUUAGCUAGUUGGUAAGGUAACGGCUUACCAAGGCAACGAUGCAUAGCCGACCCGAGAGGGGGAUCGGCCACACUGGAACUGAGACACGGUCCAGACUCCUACGGGAGGCAGCAGUAGGGAAUCUUACGCAAUGGGCGAAAGCCUGACGGAGCAACGCCGCGUGAGUGAUGAAGGUCUUCGGAUCGUAAAACUCUGUUAUUAGGGAAGAACAAAUGUGUAAGUAACUGUGCACAUCUUGACGGUACCUAAUCAGAAAGCCACGGCUAACUACGUG
Molecule: ribosomal RNA, 497 nt
Filed under: uncultured bacterium
Lineage: Bacteria
Description: partial 16S ribosomal RNA
Rfam family: Bacterial small subunit ribosomal RNA
Source: RNAcentral